Molecule: ribosomal RNA, 450 nt
Filed under: uncultured bacterium
Lineage: Bacteria
Description: partial 16S ribosomal RNA
Rfam family: Bacterial small subunit ribosomal RNA
Source: RNAcentral
GUGGGGAAUCUUCCGCAAUGGACGAAAGUCUGACGGAGCAACGCCGCGUGAGUGAAGAAGGUUUUCGGAUCGUAAAGCUCUUUCGUUAGGGACGAACGUGCUCUUUGUGAAUAAUGAGGAGUAAUGACGGUACCUAAAUAAGAAGCCACGGCUAACUACGUGCCAGCAGCCGCGGUAAUACGUAGGUGGCAAGCGUUGUCCGGAAUUAUUGGGCGUAAAGCGCGCGCAGGCGGGAUAUCAAGUCUGUCUUAAAAGUGCGAGGCUCAACCUCGUGAGGGGACAGAAACUGGUAUUCUUGGGUGUCGGAGAGGAAAGUGGAAUUCCAAGUGUAGCGGUGAAAUGCGUAGAGAUUUGGAAGAACACCAGUGGCGAAGGCGACUUUCUGGACGAUGUCUGACGCUGAGGCGCGAAAGCUAGGGGAGCGAACGGGAUUAGAAACCCGUGUAGUCC